GACGAACGCUGGCGGCGUGCCUAAUACAUGCAAGUAGAACGCUGAAGGAGGAGCUUGCUCUUCUGGAUGAGUUGCGAACGGGUGAGUAACGCGUAGGUAACCUGCCUGGUAGCGGGGGAUAACUAUUGGAAACGAUAGCUAAUACCGCAUAACAGUAGAUGUUGCAUGACAUUUGCUUAAAAGGUGCAAUUGCACCACUACCAGAUGGACCUGCGUUGUAUUAGCUAGUUGGUGGGGUAACGGCUCACCAAGGCGACGAUACAUAGCCGACCUGAGAGGGUGAUCGGCCACACUGGGACUGAGACACGGCCCAGACUCCUACGGGAGGCAGCAGUAGGGAAUCUUCGGCAAGGGACGGAAGUCUGACCGAGCAACGCCGCGUGAGUGAAGAAGGUUUUCGGAUCGUAAAGCUCUGUUGUAAGAGAAGAACGAGUGUGAGAGUGGAAAGUUCACACUGUGACGGUAUCUUACCAGAAAGGGACGGCUAACUACGUG
Molecule: ribosomal RNA, 495 nt
Filed under: uncultured bacterium
Lineage: Bacteria
Description: partial 16S ribosomal RNA
Rfam family: Bacterial small subunit ribosomal RNA
Source: RNAcentral